GCCUGGGUAGCUCAGUUGGUAGAGCAUCAUCAGACUUUUAAUCUGAGUCUUCAGGGUCCAAGUCCCCGUUCAGGUG
Molecule: transfer RNA, 76 nt
Filed under: Loxodonta africana (African savanna elephant)
Lineage: Eukaryota; Metazoa; Chordata; Mammalia; Proboscidea; Elephantidae
Rfam family: tRNA
About the family: Transfer RNA (tRNA) molecules are approximately 80 nucleotides in length. Their secondary structure includes four short double-helical elements and three loops (D, anti-codon, and T loops).
Source: Rfam by way of RNAcentral